AUAUAUGUUAGUGUAUAAGCACAAGAAGUUUUGAUCUUCUAAGAUAAGGUGAAAUUCCCUACCAUAUAUU
RNAcentral lists this transfer RNA (70 nucleotides) under Coenobita brevimanus. RNAcentral's name for it is "tRNA-Gln". The record is from RNAcentral. Lineage: Eukaryota; Metazoa; Arthropoda; Malacostraca; Decapoda; Coenobitidae.